This 635-nucleotide long non-coding RNA is filed under the name Phascolarctos cinereus (koala). RNAcentral's name for it is "lncRNA (ENSPCIG00000025103.2)". Lineage: Eukaryota; Metazoa; Chordata; Mammalia; Diprotodontia; Phascolarctidae. The record is from RNAcentral.
GGGCUCUCAGGAGGCUGGAGAAACAGAGACAGCACCAGUGGGAAGCUCCGGUCCCCGUUACCGUCCCAGCUUCAGCCCCCAGUGCCUCCUGAGGGGCUUGUAAAGGAAGCCAGCUGUGGCAACAGCCUUUUAGAGAUGCUUCAGAGCUGGCUGAGAGCGUCUGAGGGGCCCCCAGACUGACAGGAACCUCUGUCUUUAAAACACUGCCUGGCAUCACCUCUGCAAUGACAUCCCCUCUCCUGCGCCCUGACCCUUAACGCCUAAAGUUUGGGAGAGGCUGAUAAAGCUUUUUCAGCAGUUCUGAUUCGGUUAGGAGACAGCAUGGCCCCUGGGGAUUGCUCCACCUCCAUCCAUCACUUCCCAUUUUCUACUGCAUCUCCAGGCCAUGGGAAGAGGGCUCUCCUGACUUCUGGCCACACUUGAGGAAGGUUCACCAUCAGGGAGAGCUGCCCAAGUGCACAGAGACAGUCCUACGCCCAGAACCAAAACAAGAAGCUGGCUUUCCCUGGGGGAGGACUUGGUGACGGAUUAUUCUGUAAAUUCCCAAAUAAUUACAAUAACCAGAGAGAAGCAAAGAAGGGGAGAAGGAGAUAGAUUUGAAAGGAUAAUGCCCAGCCUGAGAGUGAGUAAUGGUC